CAAGCGUCAAAAUUCUAACCUCAAUCAGUCAUAAUAAAAGAAUUACCAAUGAAGAGGACCAGUUAUGGAAAAAUAUGCAAAUAUUUUCAAGGAAUUGAUAUAAGUGUUUGCGAAUGCGGUCGAGCACCUAUCUUCACUUGUUAACCUACACGCUUAACCGUGAAUGGACCCAUUUUUAUUACUAUAUCCUUUAUUACGAAGAGAAGGUUUCCUUUCGAUUUCGCGACAAUCUUGAGCAGCACCUCUUAACUUUUAUUACUCACACAGCAAUCACAUAUGUAUUACACACGCACACACACAUUCAAUCGCAGACGUACGCACUAGUGGCAUGACGUGCUUAGUGGUGAAGACAGAUACUAGCGGACUCGUAGCGGAAUCGCGCGGUAUCCCUCAUUUAUUUCCAGAGACAGAGUAUCGUAUACUACUUUUUUCGAUCUCGUAGGGCCAUGUGAAGGCUGAAGAGAAUAAAUAAGUUUAAUGGAGUCACACCGGAACUGUG
Bombus pyrosoma is the source of this 499-nucleotide long non-coding RNA. RefSeq lists it as uncharacterized. The record is from RefSeq and is a predicted model, not a curated record. NCBI's taxonomy places the organism in Eukaryota, Metazoa, Arthropoda, Insecta, Hymenoptera, Apidae. The transcript is spliced from 3 exons.